GGCCCCGUAGCUCAACCGGAUAGAGCACCCGCCUUCUAAGCGGGUGGUUGGGUGUUCGAGUCACCCCGGGGUCGCCA
This 77-nucleotide transfer RNA is filed under the name Prosthecomicrobium pneumaticum. RNAcentral's name for it is "tRNA-Arg". It matches the Rfam family "tRNA". Rfam says of the family: Transfer RNA (tRNA) molecules are approximately 80 nucleotides in length. Their secondary structure includes four short double-helical elements and three loops (D, anti-codon, and T loops). The record is from RNAcentral. Lineage: Bacteria; Pseudomonadati; Pseudomonadota; Alphaproteobacteria; Hyphomicrobiales; Kaistiaceae.